UUGUUUAAUUUGUAAAAGUAAUUGACUGACAAGUUUAAAAGUUGGGUUCUUCGGCGGGCGCGCAUCCGCUCGAGAGCCGAUGGAGGCGAACCUCGUCCCGCCGAAGCAAAACAAUUGUAACAACAAAGUGUGAGAGGCAUCUGAGUUACCAGAUGUGUCCUCGGUAAUGAUCCUUCCGCAGGUUCACCUACGGAAA
RNAcentral lists this unclassified non-coding RNA (196 nucleotides) under uncultured fungus. RNAcentral's name for it is "sequence contains ITS1". Lineage: Eukaryota; Fungi. The record is from RNAcentral.